RNAcentral lists this ribosomal RNA (773 nucleotides) under Helix pomatia (Roman snail). RNAcentral describes it as "partial 16S ribosomal RNA". The record is from RNAcentral. Lineage: Eukaryota; Metazoa; Mollusca; Gastropoda; Stylommatophora; Helicidae.
GUGAGCUAAACGCGCAUAUGGUGUAUUCGCGUGCGUCGCAUAGCACGUAUUAAAUGCGCGUUUAGGGGUGAUAGGCUUUUCAAACAUUCGUAUAACUUGUUUCAUAUGAAAAGUAUUUAGUACCUAAACAAAUUUGAAAAGUUAAGCUUUUAAAUUAUUAUUAAAGAUAUUAUUCCCUUGUAGUGUAGUUUAAUAGCUAUCUACAUAGUAACUUAACAUUAAGUAUGUUAGUUUAUAUAUUAUAGUAUGACUUUAACAAUUUUGUUAAUAAAUUGAAAAUGUUAGUAUUAGUAAUAUUAGUAUGUGUGCUAAAGGAACUCGGCAAAAAACCGCUCAACUGUUUAUCAAAAACAUAGCUAUAUGAAUUAGUAUAUAGUUGUUUCUGCUCAAUGACUUAAAUAGCCGCAGUACUCUGACUGUGCAAAGGUAGCAUAAUCAGUUGGCUUUUAAUUAAAGUCUGGUAUGAACGAAAAUAUGGGUAGUAACUGUCUUAGCACAUUUCUUUGAACUUGUUAAACAAGUGCAAAUGCUUGUAAUUAAACAAUAGACGAGAAGACCCUAGAAACUUGGACAUAUUUUUGUUGGGGCGACAGAAUUACAUUUAACUAAUCUUCUAAUACACGACGCGAUGCUGAAAGAAUAAGUUACUCUAGGGAUAACAGCAUAAUUUCAUUAGUUUGUGACCUCGAUGUUGGACUAGGUACUAUACCCUUAAGGCAAGGAUAUAUUGUGCUCUGUUCGAGCAAAAUUACCUACAUGAUCUGAGUUCAGAC